RNAcentral lists this unclassified non-coding RNA (1546 nucleotides) under Canis lupus familiaris (dog). Its description in RNAcentral is "partial H19". The stretch from base 338 to 410 matches the Rfam family "mir-675 microRNA precursor family". Lineage: Eukaryota; Metazoa; Chordata; Mammalia; Carnivora; Canidae. The record is from RNAcentral.
UGGGGAUCCAGCAUGUGCGGGGGCACCAGGCCCGGGUCGGACAGGAGGAGGUGGGGACUCAGGACAUAACAGGGUCCCCAGCCGCCACCACAUCUCACCCACCGAAAUUCAUUUAGUAGCAGGUACAGGAGCGGCUCCAGCUCAGGCCUCCCAAGGCCAGUGCUGGAGCUUCGAGGGCUGGAGAGCAGGAACGAAGGAGCAGUGCGCGGGGCGGCCCGCAGCAGGGUGUCACCCGGAGGGAGCGGCGGCCACAGGAUCGGGCUCUGGAGAGAUUUCUGCAGCGAGGAGGCUGCCGUGGGCCCGGCCUGCGGGUGGCCGUUCCCACGUGGCACUGCGGCCCAGGGGCGGGCGCGGAGAGGGCCCACAGUGCACUCGGUGACACUGUAUGCCCUCACCGCUCAGCCCCUGGGUCUGGCGUGACGGACAGGACAGCGUCCAGGGGAGUCAAGGGCACAGGCGAGACCAGACUAGGCGAGGAGUGUGGGGCGGGGUGAGUGAGACCUCUGGCGGGGGGUCGGGGCGCAGGCAGGGGCGAAGAGCAGGAGCCUGGCGGCGAGCCAGGGGAGGCACUGGCCUCCAGAGCCCGGGCCAAGGCGGGCCUCUGCGGGCGUCGACGGAGCAGGGAUCGGUGCCUCUGGGCUCGGACUGGAGAUGAGGCCAGGUCUCCAGUUCGGGUGGUGAGCCCGCCAGCCACCGAAGGCCAGGCGCGAGGCUGCGCUCAGAGGGAUAGGACAUGGUCCGGUGUGACGGUGAGGACAGACGUGAUGCCGUCCGGCCUUCCUGAACAUUCUAGGCUGGCACCGCGGGGAGUCAGAACAGCCACGGCUCUCGUUCCUUUGCGUUCCUGAAGGAGUCAACACACUGCUGCUCUCUGGACCCCUAUAACCCUCAAACUGACAAGAAAUGGUGCUACCCAGCUCAUGCCUGGGCCUUGGAAACCGGACUUCUUCAAGUCCUUCUAGCUCUGACGCAAGAAGAUGCUGCAUUCUGGAACCACUACACUACUUGACUCAGGAAUCGGCUCUGGAAGGUGACGCAAAAGGAACAAGAGCAACCUGACCACAACACCUUUGGCAGCGAGCAGCCCCCGUGGCAGCCGCCACCCACCCCUCCUGGCAAUGUCAUCCCCGUGGCCACCCUGCCAUGGCCAGGCGACCACCAGCCGCCACGCCCCACGCCCCUCGCCCUCUUUCUCUUCUUCCUUUCCUAUGUUCUCUCAUUUCCUUUCUUUCCUUUCCUUUUUGCUCGGGAGACUUAAAGCCCCCAUGACUCUGUUUCCCCGUCCCUCCUGAAUUUAAUUUGCACUAAGUCGUUUGCACUGGUUUGGAGUCUUGGAUCUGGCCUUGAGUUCCCGAGCGUGUGUGCAAGCAAGCUGCUGAGUGCACCUGGCCUCCUGUGGCCCACAGCGCCCGGCACCCACCUUCCGUCCAUCUCUGUGUGGGGGUGCCCGGGUGCGGCUGAGAGCGUGAGGCCCCACCCCCCCUUGCCUAGUCUGGAAGCUCCUAACACCGAGCAGACCUUGAAGCAUUCCAUUGUAGCAUGACUC